CUACGGGUUGCUGCAGUAAGGAAUAUUGCGCAAUGGAGGCAACUCUGACGCAGCCAUGCCGCGUGCAGGAAGAAGGCCUUAUGGGUCGUAAACUGCUUUUAUUUAGGAAUAAACCCCCGAACGUGUUCGGGGCUGAAGGUACUAAACGAAUAAGCACCGGCUAACUCCGUGCCAGCAGCCGCGGUAAUACGGAGGGUGCAAGCGUUAUCCGGAUUUAUUGGGUUUAAAGGGUGCGCAGGCGGGCUAUUAAGUCAGUGGUGAAAUCCCGGGGCUCAACUCCGGAACUGCCAUUGAUACUGAUAGUCUUGAGUUUGGUUGAAGUGGGCGGAAUGUAGCAUGUAGCGGUGAAAUGCAUAGAUAUGCUACAGAACACCAAUCGCGAAGGCAGCUCACUAAGCCAAAACUGACGCUCAUGCACGAAAGCGUGGGGAUCAAACAGGAUUAGAUACCCUGGUAGUC
This 459-nucleotide ribosomal RNA is filed under the name uncultured bacterium. RNAcentral describes it as "partial 16S ribosomal RNA". It matches the Rfam family "Bacterial small subunit ribosomal RNA", at positions 339 to 795 of the family's 1533-position model. The record is from RNAcentral.